CGGUUGAUCCUGCCGGAGGCUACCGCUAUUGGAGUUCGAUUAAGCCAUGCGAGUCGCGAGAAAUUAGAUUCUCGGCGUACCGCUCAGUAACACGUGGGUAACCUGCCCUAUGCUGGAUAAUAACCUCGGGAAACUGAGAAUAAUGAUCCAUAGUUCACUACGCCUGGAACGGUGAGUGGAUGAAAGCUCCGGCGGCAUAGGAUGGGCCUGCGGCGUAUCAGGUUGUAGGGGGUGUAACGUACCCUCUAGCCCUCUACGCGUACGGGUGUUGGGAGACAUAGCCCGGAGAUGGAUUCUGAGACACGAAUCCAGACCCUACGGGGUGCAGCAGGCGCGAAAACUUGGCAAUGCGAGAAAUCGUGACCAGGGAACUCCAAGUGCAUCGGGUAAGACCGGUGCUUUUCUUGACUCUAAAUAGUUCUUGGAAUAAGGGCUGGGAAAGACCGGUGCCAGCCGCCGCGGUAAUACCGGCAGCUCGAGUGGUCGUCGCUUUUAUUGGGCCUAAAACGUCCGUAGCCUGUUUGGUAAAUCUGUGGGUAAAUCAAUCCGCUUAACGGAUUGAAUUCUGCAGAGACUGCCAGACUAGGGACCGGGAGAGGUAUGAGGUACUCUGGGGGUAGGGGUAAAAUCCCGUCAUCCUCAGAGGACCACCUGUUGCGAAAGGCGUCAUACUGGAACGGAUCCGACGGUCAGGGACGAAGCCUAGGGGCACGAACCGGAUUAGAUACCCGGGUAGUCCUAGGUGUAAACGCUGUGGAUUUGGUGUGUGGGGUCCGCAAUGGGCCCCAUGUGCCGGAGUGAAGAUGUUAAAUCCACUGCCUGGGGAGUACGGUCGCAAGGCUGAAACUUAAAGGAAUUGGCGGGGGAGCACUGCAACGGGAGGAGCGUGCGGUUUAAUUGGAUUCAACGCCGGAAAACUCACCAAGGCCGACUGUUAGAUGAAGAUCAGCGUAACGAGCUUAUUGGAUUAUCAGAGAGGUGGUGCAUGGCCGUCGUCAGUUCGUACUGUAAAGCGUUCUGUUAAGUCAGAUAACGAACGAGACCCGCAUCCUUAUUUGCGACCCUCAUGUCCGCAUGAGGCGCACCAUAGGGAGAUCGCUGGUGUGAAACCAGAUGAGAGCGCGGGCAACGACAGGUCAGUAUGCCCCGAAUGUCUUGGGCUACACGCGCGCUACAAAGGACAGGACAAUGGGAAGCCACGCCGAGAGGCGGCGCUACCCCGAAACCUGUUCGUAGUUCGGAUCGAGGGCUGUAACUCGCCCUCGUGAAGCUGGAUUCCGUAGUAAUCGUGUUUCAACAUAGCACGGUGAAUAUGCCCCUGCUCCUUGCACACACCGCCCGUCAAG
This 1346-nucleotide ribosomal RNA is filed under the name uncultured marine archaeon. Its description in RNAcentral is "bacterial SSU rRNA". It matches the Rfam family "Archaeal small subunit ribosomal RNA". The record is from RNAcentral.